This 554-nucleotide long non-coding RNA is filed under the name Panax ginseng (ginseng). Its description in RNAcentral is "long non-coding RNA (PGIN_LNC012197)". Lineage: Eukaryota; Viridiplantae; Streptophyta; Magnoliopsida; Apiales; Araliaceae. The record is from RNAcentral.
GUAGUGUUAACUCUGUAGCGUCCCCAGAAUCCGCCUAGGAUCCGGUUCGCUAAUUCUAUAACUGUUUGCGGAAGAUAUAAACAUAAAUUGUUUAUACAUUAAACUUUACACACUAUUUCCCCAAAAUCGAGUAACCUUAACUAAUACACAAUCAUAAACUAUCUAACACAUGACAAUACUAUUCUUCAACCAUACUUUUACAAAUUAGCUGCACAUUCUAUCCCAAGCUGAACUUGGCAUUUUCCUUUUCCUGUAACUGGCCGUAUUCGCCUUAUCUGCAAUGUUUUAUCAUGAUAUAGCAAGGGUGAGCAUGAAAGUUGCCCAGCAAGUUUAAAAAAAAAAAGGUAAAGAUAUAUCAUGAUUGAAAGAGUUUGAAUAAUAAGCUGGCUAUCCUUCACAAUGUAGUUGUGAAUUAGCAUGAACAAAAUUUCAAAGCUGAAUGAACAUUGAAAAUGAACAUAACAAUUAUAUCUGAACUGACUGGUAAUGAAGGUGAUCAGCCUUUCAUACCUGAUGAAUACAUGCAAUAUGUACAGAGUACAAUUCAUAAGCAU